This 1350-nucleotide long non-coding RNA is filed under the name Oryctolagus cuniculus (rabbit). RNAcentral describes it as "lncRNA (ENSOCUG00000038250.1)". Lineage: Eukaryota; Metazoa; Chordata; Mammalia; Lagomorpha; Leporidae. The record is from RNAcentral.
AUGACCAGGCAGACCAGUGAUGUCACCAAGAUCCCUUUCCUUUGGAACAGAAAUAGCUGUCUUCAGACGGGGCUCCAUCCUGGGUUGGGUGAUGGGAGACUGCUGGCCCGGGCACCCCCAUCAGGAGGAACCCAGCCUGGCCCCUGGCCCCUGGCCCCAGCACAGAUGGCAGCUGGGGAAGCAGCUCACUUCUCGGCUCCUGAGAAACCAUGGGAAUGGGGCGUGGUGAUUAAUGGACACAGAGCUGCAGGAAACACGGGGCUUGGCGGCUUGGCCUUUGUUGGAUUCUGUUCUUAUCAGCACUUCCAAAGAAGCGAAAACAGGCAGAGUUCUCACAGCCACCGGGCCAAGGCCGGCAAGAGAUUACACAGCCCCUCGGGUACCCGCCAAAGCCUCCUGACCCACUUCCUGCGCGCAGAGCCUUCGGGGAGUGGGGACCGCCAACCCCUGGCCGACCAGUCCGCAUCAGAACUCGGAGCCUGCAGUCUCAGCUGCUCCAGAAUCUGCCCAUGGAAGAAACCACUCAAGCUUGGUUCUACAGGGGUCCCGUGGAGGGCACACCGAGUGACACCUGGGUCUGAGCACCAGAGAGGCAGUGAGGAGCGAAGAGAGACAUCUGCCCACGGGAGUCCUGGCCCGUCCUUGCCUGGGGUUGGGCAACACAGCAGGGCAGAGAGCCUCAGGUCUACCUGGCCAGAGCACCUGCAGCCUCUCGGCCCACCUGGAAGGGCAUCGGGAGAGGCAGGUGCACAUGCAAGUCAUCACAGGGCGACCCAAGCUCACCAGUGGGAGCUGGAUGUCCAUGUGCCUGAGCGCGGAGCCUGAUGGGCACAGGCCUCCUAGGAGCCCAAGGCGACUCAGGUGAGAGGCAUGCCUUGCCAAGUUGACCCAUUCCAGACUUCUCUGUGGGAGUGAUGAUGACAAGAAGGACACCAGCGAACAGCGCUCAUGAGGGCAUCCAUGGUCCCCUGCUCCAGCUCCAUCAUCGAUACACAUUUGCCCAUCUAAGCCUAUGGCUGGGGCCAGCACUAUGGCACAGUGGGUGAGGCCAUCCUCUGCAGUGCCAGCAUCCCACAAUGGGUGUCUGUUUGAGUCCCGGCUGCUCCACUUCCUAUCCAUCUCUCUGCUGUGGCCUGGGAAAGCAGUCGAAGAUAGCCCAAGUCCUUGGGACCCUGCACCUGUGUGGGAGACCUGGAAGAAGCUCCUGCCUCCUGGCUUCGGAUCAGCCCAACUCCGGCUGUUAUGGCCAUUUGGGGAGUGAACCAGCAGAUGGAAGACUCUCUCUCUCUCUCUGCCUCUCUCUAACUCCACCUUUCAAAUAAAUAAACAAAUCUUUAAAAAUAAACUUCA